AUACGAAGGGUGCAAGCGUUACUCGGAAUUACUGGGCGUAAAGCGUGCGUAGGCGGUUUGUUUAAGUCUGUCGUGAAAGCCCCGGGCUCAACCUGGGAAUGGCGAUGGAUACUGGCAAGCUAGAGUGUGUCAGAGGAUGGUGGAAUUCCCGGUGUAGCGGUGAAAUGCGUAGAGAUCGGGAGGAACACCAGUGGCGAAGGCGGCCAUCUGGGACAACACUGACGCUGAGGCACGAAAGCGUGGGGAGC
This 248-nucleotide ribosomal RNA is filed under the name uncultured bacterium. RNAcentral's name for it is "partial 16S ribosomal RNA". It matches the Rfam family "Bacterial small subunit ribosomal RNA", at positions 523 to 769 of the family's 1533-position model. The record is from RNAcentral.